Cavia porcellus (domestic guinea pig) is the source of this 74-nucleotide transfer RNA. It matches the Rfam family "tRNA". From Rfam's summary of the family: Transfer RNA (tRNA) molecules are approximately 80 nucleotides in length. Their secondary structure includes four short double-helical elements and three loops (D, anti-codon, and T loops). The record is from Rfam. NCBI's taxonomy places the organism in Eukaryota, Metazoa, Chordata, Mammalia, Rodentia, Caviidae.
GGGGAUUUAGCUCAGUGGCAUGAGCACCUGCCUUGCAUGCAGGCGGUCGUGAGUUCAAUCCACGGUAAAAUCCA